AGAGACAGGUCAAAGAGUAGUGAUCCAUCGAUAUAGGCUUCUGAGGGCACUCGACAGAUCCACCCAUUAUCAUUGAUUGAACUCUGUUUAGGUAGGGAUACCCGUUGUACUUAUCUCAUAUCAAUAAGCGGAGGAAAUGAAACCAACAGGGAUUGCCUCAGUUACGACGAGAGAAGCGGCAAAAGCUCAAAUUUGAAAUCUGGCUCUUUUAGGGUCCGAGAUGUCAUGAGUAGAAGAUGCUUCGGGUGUGGCUCUGGUAUAAGUUCUUUGGAAUAUUACAUCAUAGAGGGUGAGAAUCCCGUAUGUGACCAGUAGCCUCCGCCUAUGUGAAGCUCUUUCGACGAGUCGAGUUGUUUGGGAAUGCAGCUCAAAAUGGGUGGUAUAUUUCAUCUAAAGCUAAAUAUUGGCCAGAGACCGAUAGCGCACAAGUAGAGUGAUCGAAAGAUGAAAAGCACUUUGGAAAGAGAGUUAAACAGUACGUGAAAUUGUUGAAAGGGAAGCGCUUGCAACCAGACUUGCACGCAGCUGAUCAUCCGGUGUUCUCCCCGGGGCACUAUGCUGCGUUCAGCCCAGCAUCGGUUUUGGUGGUCGGAUAAAGGCCUUGGGAAUGUGGCUUCCUUCGGGGAGUGUUAUAGCCCUCGGGACAAUGCAGCCUUCUAGGACCGAGGACCGCGCUUCGGCUAGGAUGCUGGCAGUAAUGGUCGUAAGCGACC
Molecule: ribosomal RNA, 713 nt
Filed under: uncultured fungus
Lineage: Eukaryota; Fungi
Description: eukaryotic LSU rRNA
Rfam family: Eukaryotic large subunit ribosomal RNA (bases 78-713)
Source: RNAcentral